RNAcentral lists this transfer RNA (72 nucleotides) under Bos taurus (domestic cattle). It matches the Rfam family "tRNA". From Rfam's summary of the family: Transfer RNA (tRNA) molecules are approximately 80 nucleotides in length. Their secondary structure includes four short double-helical elements and three loops (D, anti-codon, and T loops). RNAcentral also lists the same sequence under 1 other name. Lineage: Eukaryota; Metazoa; Chordata; Mammalia; Artiodactyla; Bovidae. The record is from Rfam by way of RNAcentral.
UCCCUGAUGGCUCAGAUGGUAAAGAAUCUGCCUGCAAUGCAGAAGACCUGGGUUUGAUCCCUGGGUUGGGAA